CUCGUGUCGGACGUGGAGCUCGAGCGCUUCCUGGCGGCGCCGCGGGACCCCGCGCAGGUGCUCGUGUUCGGCAUCGUGUCGAGCCGCAGCCCCCGCGACAGCGCCCAGCUGCAGUGGCUGCUCGACUCGCUGCACGGCCGCCGGCAGCAGGGCCGGGCCUCGCCCUGCCUGCAGUGCCGGCACGACCCCUACCGCCUUCUCCGCUACGACCUGCACGGGCCCUUCCAGAAGGUUCCGGCGCUGAUGGUGAAGAAGUUCUCGGUGGUGCAGGGCAUGGUCCUGAUGUUCGCGGGGGGCAGGCUGCUGUUCGGGGGCUGCGUCCUCAACGGCUACGGCUUCAGCAAGCAGAACCUGCUGAAACAGAUCUCCCGGGCCCGGCAGGACUGCGAGAAUGGCUACUUCCUGCCCGAGGACUACAAGUUCAACGCGCCCAGCCCGGUCUCCAUGGUGGAGGACGGCGUGGGCCCCACCGGCUCCGAGGACACCCAGGCCAGCUACUCGUCCUUGGCGCUGGGGGACAAGGCCGAGAGGGAGGCCGCCGUUGAGGCCGCGGCCUCCAUGGAGAAAAAGUAGGUGGCCCCUCCCCCGGGGGGUCGGGGGUGACAACCCGCAAAGGGAGGUGGGGGGC
This 628-nucleotide long non-coding RNA is filed under the name Microcebus murinus (gray mouse lemur). Its description in RNAcentral is "lncRNA (ENSMICG00000048187.1)". Lineage: Eukaryota; Metazoa; Chordata; Mammalia; Primates; Cheirogaleidae. The record is from RNAcentral.